UGCUAAGCAUUUGAUUCUAAACAUCUGUCUUUCUCUCUCCGUUAUAGUAUAUCUACACGUGAAACAGACGCAGAGCCUGGAAGAUGGGAAGCAGAUCAGAAACGCCCUGGGUUGGUUGCAGGUACUGCUUUUCUAAGACUGGCUGUUAUCAGCAUGAAGGGGACCCCAGGUAGGCUCACCACACUGUGUUGUCAGGGUAGAAACCAUAAACCCAG
This 215-nucleotide long non-coding RNA is filed under the name Capra hircus (goat). Its description in RNAcentral is "lncRNA (ENSCHIG00000006027.1)". The record is from RNAcentral. Lineage: Eukaryota; Metazoa; Chordata; Mammalia; Artiodactyla; Bovidae.